RNAcentral lists this long non-coding RNA (318 nucleotides) under Linum usitatissimum (flax). RNAcentral's name for it is "long non-coding RNA (LUSI_LNC001031)". Lineage: Eukaryota; Viridiplantae; Streptophyta; Magnoliopsida; Malpighiales; Linaceae. The record is from RNAcentral.
GCUGGGUGAUGAGGAGAUCCACGAAGAAGAGGAAGAGCUCGUUCAAGAAGUACAGGACAGUUCUUGGGAUCAUAACCACAAGGGAAUGAUUGAGGCUGAAAGGGUACCGACAGAGCAAGGGGCAAUUAUGCAAGUUAUGAAGAAAUCCUCGGAGCAAAUUGUUAACUCGAUUCCGCCACCUACUACUUCUGCAUCGAGUCAAAACCCUAAUCCUCAAUCAACAACAUCUGAAUUGCCUGUUAGGACGCCAUCACCGAGGCGAGCUCCACCAGUGAAGCCUUUGAAGCUUCCGAAGCCAAAGGCGAAGGAUCCUAAUAA